This 78-nucleotide transfer RNA is filed under the name Myxococcales bacterium. Its description in RNAcentral is "tRNA-Pro". It matches the Rfam family "tRNA". Rfam says of the family: Transfer RNA (tRNA) molecules are approximately 80 nucleotides in length. Their secondary structure includes four short double-helical elements and three loops (D, anti-codon, and T loops). The record is from RNAcentral. Lineage: Bacteria; Pseudomonadati; Myxococcota; Myxococcia; Myxococcales. RNAcentral also lists the same sequence under 1 other name.
CUGGGUAUGGCUCAAUCUGGCGAGAGCGCUCGGUUCGGGUCCGAGAGACUGGGGGUUCGAAUCCCUCUACCCAGACCA